UUUAAGCAUAUCACUAAGCGGAGCAGAAGAAACUAACCAGGAUUUCCCUAGUAACGGCGAGCGAACCGGAAAGAGCCCAGCUUGAAAAUCGCGUGGUUCCGCCCCGCGAAUUGUAGUCUGGAGAAGCGUCCUCUGCAACGGACCGGACCCAAGUUCCCUGGAACGGGACGUCGGAGAGGGUGAGAGCCCCGUCGAGUUCGGACCCUGUUGCUCCACGAGGCGCUGUCUGCGAGUCGGGCUGUUUGGGAAUGCAGCCCUAAGCGGGUGGUAAAUUCCAUCCAAGGCUAAAUAUUGGCAAGAGACCGAUAGCGAACAAGUACCGCGAGGGAAAGAUGAAAAGGACUUUGAAAAGAGAGUUAAAAAGUGCUUGAAAUUGCUGGGAGGGAAGCGAAUGGAAGCUGCGGGUGCGCCUCGGUUGGAUGCGGAACGGCGAAAGCUGGUCCGCCGCUCAACGCGGGGCGCUGGUCAGCGUGGGCCACCGUGGCGGGACAAGAGUCGGCUGUAGUUGCUGGCCUAUGCCGUUGCGGUGGCCGAGGGACGAAGCGCGCGCCACUAGGCGGGCCUUAGGGCACCUGCGCGCUCGGGACGCUGGCGUAUUGAGCUCUCCAUCCGACCCGUCUUGAAACACGGACCAAGGAGUCUAACAUGUAUGCGAGCCGGUGGGCGGCAAACCCAUUGAGGCGCAAGGAACCUGACAGGUGGGAUCCCUUCGGGGAGCACCAUCGACCGACCGUGAUCUUCUGUGAAAGGUUUGAGUGUGAGCAUACCUGCUGGGACCCGAAAGAUGGUGAACUAUGCCUGAGCAGGGCGAAGCCAGAGGAAACUCUGGUGGAGGCUCGUAGCGAUACUGACGUGCAAAUCGUUCGUCAGACUUGGGUAUAGGGGCGAAAGACUAAUCGAACCAUCUAGUAGCUGGUUCCCUCCGAAGUUUCCCUCAGGAUAGCUGGAGCUCGUGAAGUUUUAUCAGGUAAAGCGAAUGAUUAGAGGCAUCGGGGGUGUAACACUCUCGACCUAUUCUCAAACUUUAAAUAGGUAAGCCGCCAGGGUUGCUUGGUUGAACCCUGGCACAGAAU
RNAcentral lists this ribosomal RNA (1073 nucleotides) under Diphyscium foliosum. RNAcentral describes it as "eukaryotic LSU rRNA". It matches the Rfam family "Eukaryotic large subunit ribosomal RNA", at positions 33 to 1113 of the family's 3401-position model. The record is from RNAcentral. Lineage: Eukaryota; Viridiplantae; Streptophyta; Bryopsida; Diphysciales; Diphysciaceae.